Molecule: long non-coding RNA, 735 nt
Organism: Jatropha curcas
Lineage: Eukaryota; Viridiplantae; Streptophyta; Magnoliopsida; Malpighiales; Euphorbiaceae
Source: RefSeq, a predicted model, not a curated record
CAUAACGACACGAUAAUUUUAUAUAUAAUAUUUCUAUAUUAUAUCUUUCUGUAUUAUAUAUUUUUCUAUUUAUAUUUAUAUUUUAUAUAUUUUCUUAUUUUUUAUUUUAAAUUUAAUAUAUUAAAUAUUAAAAUUAACUUGUCGUUAGUUGAUUAGAGGCAGCAAUGAUUCAUUCGAGUGGUACGCUGAGUGGACUGUGCUCCGAUAACCUCUUCUCUCCAUCCUCGACGGAGCUAUUGCCCCUACUUCGCUGCAAGUUCUUUUGCCUAGUUGCAGCAGUUCGAGAUUAUCAGAGCAUUUAUACGACGCAAGGUUAAAGAUAUUACUAAUAUUGAUUUCUCGAAAGUUGUGAUUCCCGACAUACUUAGGAGGAAUGUGAGAAAACGGCCUGGGAUGCGGUGGCGCAUAAUGGACAUGACCACCAUGCAGUUUGCAGGUGAGGCAUUUGAUGCAGUUGUUGAAAAAAGUGGAUUGAAUGCUUUGAUGGAGCCAGAGCUUGGGCCUAAGCAGGGUAGUCAAUAUUUGACAGAGGUUGCAUUGGAUUUUAUUUUGGGUUUUGUGCUUAGUAGUUUAGUUUGAUUGGUGUUGGAGAAGGAAUAGGGCAGGAGAGAAGAAAUAGGAUAGAAAAGUUAAAUCUUUGGGUCAAGAGUGAGAAAAUCAAAUUUUGAAGUUAUUGCUGAUGUGGUCAAAAUAUUAUUUUUAAAAUAAUUUCGGCAAGCCACGUCAAGUGUUCAA